RNAcentral lists this ribosomal RNA (2902 nucleotides) under Escherichia coli DEC8D. RNAcentral describes it as "bacterial LSU rRNA". It matches the Rfam family "Bacterial large subunit ribosomal RNA". Lineage: Bacteria; Pseudomonadati; Pseudomonadota; Gammaproteobacteria; Enterobacterales; Enterobacteriaceae. The record is from RNAcentral.
UUAAGCGACUAAGCGUACACGGUGGAUGCCCUGGCAGUCAGAGGCGAUGAAGGACGUGCUAAUCUGCGAUAAGCGUCGGUAAGGUGAUAUGAACCGUUAUAACCGGCGAUUUCCGAAUGGGGAAACCCAGUGUGUUUCGACACACUAUCAUUAACUGAAUCCAUAGGUUAAUGAGGCGAACCGGGGGAACUGAAACAUCUAAGUACCCCGAGGAAAAGAAAUCAACCGAGAUUCCCCCAGUAGCGGCGAGCGAACGGGGAGCAGCCCAGAGCCUGAAUCAGUAUGUGUGUUAGUGGAAGCGUCUGGAAAGGCGCGCGAUACAGGGUGACAGCCCCGUACACAAAAAUGCACAUGCUGUGAGCUCGAUGAGUAGGGCGGGACACGUGGUAUCCUGUCUGAAUAUGGGGGGACCAUCCUCCAAGGCUAAAUACUCCUGACUGACCGAUAGUGAACCAGUACCGUGAGGGAAAGGCGAAAAGAACCCCGGCGAGGGGAGUGAAAAAGAACCUGAAACCGUGUACGUACAAGCAGUGGGAGCACGCUUAGGCGUGUGACUGCGUACCUUUUGUAUAAUGGGUCAGCGACUUAUAUUCUGUAGCAAGGUUAACCGAAUAGGGGAGCCGAAGGGAAACCGAGUCUUAACUGGGCGUUAAGUUGCAGGGUAUAGACCCGAAACCCGGUGAUCUAGCCAUGGGCAGGUUGAAGGUUGGGUAACACUAACUGGAGGACCGAACCGACUAAUGUUGAAAAAUUAGCGGAUGACUUGUGGCUGGGGGUGAAAGGCCAAUCAAACCGGGAGAUAGCUGGUUCUCCCCGAAAGCUAUUUAGGUAGCGCCUCGUGAAUUCAUCUCCGGGGGUAGAGCACUGUUUCGGCAAGGGGGUCAUCCCGACUUACCAACCCGAUGCAAACUGCGAAUACCGGAGAAUGUUAUCACGGGAGACACACGGCGGGUGCUAACGUCCGUCGUGAAGAGGGAAACAACCCAGACCGCCAGCUAAGGUCCCAAAGUCAUGGUUAAGUGGGAAACGAUGUGGGAAGGCCCAGACAGCCAGGAUGUUGGCUUAGAAGCAGCCAUCAUUUAAAGAAAGCGUAAUAGCUCACUGGUCGAGUCGGCCUGCGCGGAAGAUGUAACGGGGCUAAACCAUGCACCGAAGCUGCGGCAGCGACGCUGAUGCGUUGUUGGGUAGGGGAGCGUUCUGUAAGCCUGCGAAGGUGUGCUGUGAGGCAUGCUGGAGGUAUCAGAAGUGCGAAUGCUGACAUAAGUAACGAUAAAGCGGGUGAAAAGCCCGCUCGCCGGAAGACCAAGGGUUCCUGUCCAACGUUAAUCGGGGCAGGGUGAGUCGACCCCUAAGGCGAGGCCGAAAGGCGUAGUCGAUGGGAAACAGGUUAAUAUUCCUGUACUUGGUGUUACUGCGAAGGGGGGACGGAGAAGGCUAUGUUGGCCGGGCGACGGUUGUCCCGGUUUAAGCGUGUAGGCUGGUUUUCCAGGCAAAUCCGGAAAAUCAAGGCUGAGGCGUGAUGACGAGGCACUACGGUGCUGAAGCAACAAAUGCCCUGCUUCCAGGAAAAGCCUCUAAGCAUCAGGUAACAUCAAAUCGUACCCCAAACCGACACAGGUGGUCAGGUAGAGAAUACCAAGGCGCUUGAGAGAACUCGGGUGAAGGAACUAGGCAAAAUGGUGCCGUAACUUCGGGAGAAGGCACGCUGAUAUGUAGGUGAAGUCCCUCGCGGAUGGAGCUGAAAUCAGUCGAAGAUACCAGCUGGCUGCAACUGUUUAUUAAAAACACAGCACUGUGCAAACACGAAAGUGGACGUAUACGGUGUGACGCCUGCCCGGUGCCGGAAGGUUAAUUGAUGGGGUUAGCGCAAGCGAAGCUCUUGAUCGAAGCCCCGGUAAACGGCGGCCGUAACUAUAACGGUCCUAAGGUAGCGAAAUUCCUUGUCGGGUAAGUUCCGACCUGCACGAAUGGCGUAAUGAUGGCCAGGCUGUCUCCACCCGAGACUCAGUGAAAUUGAACUCGCUGUGAAGAUGCAGUGUACCCGCGGCAAGACGGAAAGACCCCGUGAACCUUUACUAUAGCUUGACACUGAACAUUGAGCCUUGAUGUGUAGGAUAGGUGGGAGGCUUUGAAGUGUGGACGCCAGUCUGCAUGGAGCCGACCUUGAAAUACCACCCUUUAAUGUUUGAUGUUCUAACGUUGACCCGUAAUCCGGGUUGCGGACAGUGUCUGGUGGGUAGUUUGACUGGGGCGGUCUCCUCCUAAAGAGUAACGGAGGAGCACGAAGGUUGGCUAAUCCUGGUCGGACAUCAGGAGGUUAGUGCAAUGGCAUAAGCCAACUUGACUGCGAGCGUGACGGCGCGAGCAGGUGCGAAAGCAGGUCAUAGUGAUCCGGUGGUUCUGAAUGGAAGGGCCAUCGCUCAACGGAUAAAAGGUACUCCGGGGAUAACAGGCUGAUACCGCCCAAGAGUUCAUAUCGACGGCGGUGUUUGGCACCUCGAUGUCGGCUCAUCACAUCCUGGGGCUGAAGUAGGUCCCAAGGGUAUGGCUGUUCGCCAUUUAAAGUGGUACGCGAGCUGGGUUUAGAACGUCGUGAGACAGUUCGGUCCCUAUCUGCCGUGGGCGCUGGAGAACUGAGGGGGGCUGCUCCUAGUACGAGAGGACCGGAGUGGACGCAUCACUGGUGUUCGGGUUGUCAUGCCAAUGGCACUGCCCGGUAGCUAAAUGCGGAAGAGAUAAGUGCUGAAAGCAUCUAAGCACGAAACUUGCCCCGAGAUGAGUUCUCCCUGACUCCUUGAGAGUCCUGAAGGAACGUUGAAGACGACGACGUUGAUAGGCCGGGUGUGUAAGCGCAGCGAUGCGUUGAGCUAACCGGUACUAAUGAACCGUGAGGCUUAACCUU